UUCUGCACUCUUGUUUUCAAUUGCGGUCCACAAGCGUACCCAGCGCGCUCUUGCACGACUCUACGGUCUGCGCUCCAAAAAGAUUACUUCGGUCACGAGCAUCACCUGUUCCAGGAGCGACUGCUAUUGCUUCUACAUUCCUUCGCCAGUGGCGUCCUGCUGGUAGACUUGACUCGUCUGCUCGCCCUGCGCUACUACUACUGCUUCUGCACUCUUGUUUUCAAUUGCGGUGCACAAGCGUACCCAGCGCGCUCUUGCACGACUCUACGGUCUGCGCUCCAAAAAGAUUACUUCGGCCUCGAGCAUCACCUGUUCCAGGAGCAACUGCUAUUCCUUCUACAUUCCCUCGCCAGUGGCGUCCUGCUCGUAGACUUGACUCGUCUGCUCGCCCUGCGCUACUACUACUGCAUCUGCACUCCUGUUCCCAAUUACGGUCGACAAGCGUACCCAGCGCGCUCUUGCACGACUCUACGGUCUGCGCCCCAAUAAGAUUACUUCGGUCACGAGCAUCACCUGUUCCAGGAGCAACUGCUAUUCCUUCUACAUUCCCUCGCCAGUGGCGUCCUGCUUGUAGACUUUACUCGUCUCCUCGCCCUACGCUACUA
Dermacentor andersoni is the source of this 605-nucleotide long non-coding RNA. RefSeq lists it as uncharacterized. The record is from RefSeq and is a predicted model, not a curated record. Lineage: Eukaryota; Metazoa; Arthropoda; Arachnida; Ixodida; Ixodidae.